GUUUUGCUCCCAUCAAUAACUCUCUCUCACAAACUUGCAGAAGGCAAACAGCACUGCACGGGAGGCAGCUCAAUAGAAUUUGAAGGUAUUGAUGUUACCAGGUAUAAAUGAACACUGCUUUCUCCUUGGUUCCUUAUCUUUGGCUGAAGAGGUAUCUGACCCGCCUGCACUGCAAGUAUACUGCUGACUACAGCACUCCCGGCUUCCAUCAGGUGGUCACAGAUCAACAGAUACCUUGUCACAGACCACAGCAGAGUUACUAGGAGAAGCGAGAAGCUUCUUGACCACAUCUGCAGUCAGUUUCCUGAAAAGCUCAAAGCAAAGGAACUGAGAAGGAAAGAGACUGAAGGACAGGACAGGACAGGACGGGCUGGGACAGGCUCUGCUUUCCUACCUUGGACAGCUCCCCAGCACCACUUCCGCGGGCAGAACAGGAAAACAGUGGCACACGGUCGACGUUGACCACUACAGGUAAUAAUUAGAGGGGUUCGAUGAGCAGAGGAAACAGACACAAGUGAAGAGGAGGGUGUCGUAUUGCUCCUCACUUCAGAGCUUAGACACCUGGAUUCUGAUUACUGCCUCAAUUAACUAAUUGCUGUAAGCAAGGCCACAAUACCCAGGAGAAAGCAUGACAAGAAAAAGCAAAGAAAUGGAACACUGUGGAGAAAGGAGUUUGGAAAUAGACGAGGUGAAGGUAAAUAAAAGAGGGUGAGAAGAUUAAAAUGGAAGAGUGAAAAAGCUGGAUGAGAAAAAAGGAUGAGGGAGGACAGAGAAGGAAGAAAAAAAAAUAGGUAGGGGGAGUGAACAAGACAUGAAGGCAGAAGAAAAGAAAGACAACGCAUGUAGAAAAAUGGAGUGAUAGAACUAGGAUAAUUAAAUAGCAAGAACAAUUGGGAAGUGAUACAGAAGAGAUAUAAACAGGAGACACACAAGCAUGUGGAAAGCAUGAAAUAAAGGGAAACACAGAAAAGUGUAGCAAGAAAAGGACACAUGCUGUAGUGAUACCUGCUUCCAAGGCUUCACAUCUGUUUUAAGUACCUUCUUCAAAUUUCCAAACCAUACAUCUAUCUCCCAAGACAUAUCAAUACUCACUGGUUCAGCAACCAAUCCAUUAACGAAUUAAUGUAUACACUUUGAUCCCUGUGAAGGUGCUAAUACCUUCCAUCCUCUUAAGAGCGGUCAUAAUCUUCACACCACUGAUUAAAAAUGUAGCAUCUUAACCUGGUUUAAUUAUGAUGAUAGGUGCAGUUAUUGCUCUAAAUUUUGCUUUUGCACCAUAAAUAAACUUGCUGAUCAUAUUUAAGAGUCAUAAACAAUUUCCAUCUGGUAUCCAAGAUAGUGAUAUGUUCAUCUGCAUAUUCAUCAAGUGGCAUGCAUGUAAAUAAGAAAGUUUUGUUGAUUGCUUGCCUUACUUCCUCUACAGAGAAAUUCUUAACCAUUAGGAUCUUCUAAUACGAGGUCAGACUAUCUGAACUUAAUUCCAAUGGGAAUGAAGGGAAACAGUCCCACACUCUUAUUUAACUGCUAUCAAUUAAAUGUAAAAUUUCACAUAAAAAUGGUAAUCUUUUCUAUAGCCAAAGGGGUGUAUUAGAUGCAGAAAAAAAAAUAGAAAUAAAUUAUUGCCAUUAGAGAGUUAGAUGAGCCCAUUCAAAAAACGGUAAAAUGAAGUAUCAAGCAGUAAUAAAAAUAUCAACUUCUUCAUAUAUUUCCCCUCUUUUUAGGCAUGUAAUUUGUCAUUGGUCACAGUUCCCUGUUUGUCAUUAGAAUUUGCAUCUGGAAAGCAUUCUGCCAGGGCAGGAAGGCAAAUAAUAGUAAUGAAAAAUUCAUGAAAAUUGCAUACUACCAAAUACAUGCUGAUAUUGAUGUUCUGUUAUCAGAGUCCUUUAAAUCCCAAACAAAUAAAUCCCUCAAUCAACAUAAAUGGACUCUUGGGGAAGAUAAAGCAAACUUCACUAUUGUAUAUUUGAAUUAAUUUGGAAUUAAGAAAAUAUUUGUAAAGCCUUUGCUUCUUUCAAAAUCCAACAGUUUGCUUUUUUCAUUUUAUAUAGAUUAAAUAUACAAACAAUUCUAUUUCAGUGAAGUUGAAGAGCAAUGCUGAAAAUUCUGCAGGGUGAUAUCCAUUUGUCCAUGGUGGGAAUGGAGAUGCUUGCAUUACUUCUGAUACCUAAUUAAGAUGCACGCUAAUUUGAGAUUCCAGUAUUUAAAAUGCUGUGAGAUUUUUUAAAGUACUAUUUCACCGCAGGAAGGGCCUGCUUUUCAGGGAUUUACAAGUAUUUGGACGAAAUAAGUUUUGUAGCUCAAUAACACUUUUUACCAAAAAAAACCACCAAGGGCUCUAUCAACCUACAAUGAUCUGUUGCAUCAGGCAAUGCACUGUUCCUUGCUUCACAGUAACAUGACAGCUGACUUGGACACUCUGUCCAUGGCAGCCAUUUGAUUAUUUUCUUCCAUAUUUUUCAAAAGUAGCUUCUAACCUGUUGUAGAUUCUGGCAAUGGCCACUGAAAUUUGCAGGGCUGCACAUCCCACCUUCCAAAUCAAUUCGGAUGAGCUUGGCAAUGUAUCUAUCCUCCUCCCACCGCUAAUGCCGUGCGUUUGGUAAAAUGGGUACGCCUUACACUUCCUUGUGAUAGAACUCCUUGAUAUCAAAAGACUUCAGGUCCAAGUUCCAAAAUCACUUACUGCAUGCAAGCCCUACUAAACUGGAUGAGAAAUCAGGCAGAAGGGAGUUUACAUUCCGCAGGCUGAAGCCUCCAGCAGGCCUGUCAGCUUGGAUGAGGCAUUCAUUCAUUCAGAUUCAUCAAAGCUGUAACCUCCAUUUUACUCCCACCACUCACUAGAAAUAAAAUAAUGGCUGAAUGGCCUGAAAAUAAAGAAUUCUUACUGUUUUAAGGGACCAUUCAUGGGGAAUAAUUGAAUUUCUUCUAGAAAUUCACUGCAGAACAAGAUUCUGGUAACAGAAAGCAACAGAAAAAGAAUCAGAAACAUCUCUAUAACACGUCUGUUUCUUUCAGGCACCUGUCAGCACUUUAAAUCUGGAUGUGUUUGUUGUCGCACUACAGAACAUUCCUGGAUGUAGACAUUGCUCUUAUUUGAAACUCAAUUGUGUAUAUCUCCGAUCAAUUUAAGUUCCAUUCUAGAUCUGGUGGGAAUAGAAUUAUGGCUUCUUGCUUUUUCAUCUGUUCCCAUUUGGAUACAGAUAUACCAAAGAUGGCUGGAGAGUCCCCUCUAA
This is a long non-coding RNA of Oxyura jamaicensis (ruddy duck), 3230 nucleotides long. RefSeq lists it as uncharacterized. NCBI's taxonomy places the organism in Eukaryota, Metazoa, Chordata, Aves, Anseriformes, Anatidae. The record is from RefSeq and is a predicted model, not a curated record. The transcript is spliced from 2 exons.